RNAcentral lists this ribosomal RNA (274 nucleotides) under uncultured bacterium. RNAcentral's name for it is "partial 16S ribosomal RNA". It matches the Rfam family "Bacterial small subunit ribosomal RNA", at positions 523 to 796 of the family's 1533-position model. The record is from RNAcentral.
AUACGGAGGGUGCAAGCGUUAUUCGGAAUCACUGGGCGUAAAGGACGCGUAGGCGUGUUGGCAAGUCAGAUGUGAAAUCCUACAGCUUAACUGUAGAACUGCAUUUGAAACUGCUAACCUAGAGUAUGGGAGGGGGAGAUGGAAUUAGUGGUGUAGGGGUAAAAUCCGUAGAUAUCACUAGGAAUACCGAAAGCGAAGGCGAUCUCCUGGAACAUAACUGACGCUAAGGCGUGAAAGCGUGGGGAGCAAACAGGAUUAGAAACCCUAGUAGUCC